CCUACGGGAGGCAGCAGUGAGGACUAUUGGUCAAUGGACGAGAGUCUGAACCAGCCAAGUAGCGUGAAGGAUGACUGCCCUAUGGGUUGUAAACUUCUUUUAUAUGGGAAUAAAAUGUUCCACGUGUGGGAUUUUGUAUGUACCAUAUGAAUAAGGAUCGGCUAACUCCGUGCCAGCAGCCGCUGUAAUACGGAGGAUCCGAGCAUUAUCCGGAUUUAUUGGGUUUAAAGGGAGCGUAGGUGGAUUGUUAAGUCAGUUGUGAAAGUUUGCGGCUCAACCGUAAAAUUGCAGUUGAAACUGGCAGUCUUGAGUACAGUAGAGGUGGGCGGAAUUCGUGGUGUAGCGGUGAAAUGCUUAGAUAUCACGAAGAACUCCGAUUGCGAAGGCAGUUCACUGGACUGCAACUGACACUGAGGCUCGAAAGUGUGGGUAUCAAACAGGAUUAGAUACCCGAGUAGUC
Molecule: ribosomal RNA, 460 nt
Filed under: uncultured bacterium
Lineage: Bacteria
Description: partial 16S ribosomal RNA
Rfam family: Bacterial small subunit ribosomal RNA
Source: RNAcentral